CAACUCCCACUUGUUGGUCUUUGCUGUCUUUUGCUCCCUCUUCCCCUUUUCCCAACUGACCACUUACCCCCUUUUCGCUUUUACUUACUCCCAUGACUAGUGCUACUAGUAGUAGUAUAGAAUUUGUCAUUCUUGAUAUAAACUCCAGUCUUUCUUUCUCUCUCUUCGCGCAAUCCAGCAUCUUUCUUGCAUUUUUGUUCCCCCCUUUUUCUUGAUUUGGUCUUGUUACUAAGUUAUUAACAGAAAAACCUUUUUUUCCCGAUUGUGGAAUGUUUUUUUCUGUCUGUAGACAGAAUAUUUAUCUCGUGACAUAAUACAUGUGUGCAUAUAUGAGAAAUCAACCGGGUUGGAUUCUUAAAUUGUGUUCAGGAUUGAGUCUUUGUUCAUCCAACAAGGAGAUAAUUCUAUUAUCUUGAAUUUGCCAGCUGGGUUCUUGGAUGUUGACCUGAACUUUUUAAAGGAGCUUAAACUCUGUACUACUUGUUGUUUAUUGUGAUUUUUGGUAUUGAGAUUCAUGCUUGGAGUGAGACAAUGGAGAGGUUUAUGGCCUACUUUCAUUUUUCUUUAACACUUUGUUCAGAGUUUUAGUUAAGAUAAGAUGAAAAAUCUUCUCAAGAAACUCCAUUUAAUGCCAAAUGAAUCAGUGGAUUCAGAAGGGUCAACGUCAUCAGCAAAGACCAAGAGAUUGAGUGAUGUUUCAUCCCCUGAUAAUAACCCCUUUUCAGCUAUUUCAGGAUGGUUAAAUUCAGUUACUACUAGGCAUAAUAGCCCUAGUCCUCAAUCAUCUUCAAAUAUGAGUAGAGGGAAUAAUAAUAGAAUGGAGCCUUGUGAUUCUGCUAGUAGUAGUGGAUUAGAUGCUGCUUUAGAUACUGUAAGGCGCGAUUCGGAGUCCAGCAAUUCGAGGGAACCUGAUAUAGAAGAAGAAUAUCAAAUACAAAUGGCUCUGGAGUUGAGUGCAAGGGAAGAUCCUGAGGCAGUUCAGAUUGAAGCUGUUAAACAGAUAAGUUUAGGUUCUUGUGCCCCAGAGAAUACACCAGCUGAAAUUGUUGCUUAUAGAUAUUGGAAUUACAAUGCUCUAAGCUUUGACGACGAGAUCCUGGAUGGUUUUUAUGAUCUGUAUGGGAUCAUGACAGAGUCCAAUUCCUCAAAAAUGCCCUCCCUUGUCAAUCUACAAAGAACACCAGUAUCAGACCAGAUCACUUGGGAAGCCAUCCUUGUUAAUAGAGCUGCUGACUCUAAGCUGUUGAAGCUAGAACAAAAAGCUCUAGAGAUGUCUGUCAAGGUCAGGUCAGAAUCCAUAGAUUUUACAGGUGGCAAUUUGGUUCAGACGCUUGCUAUGCUAGUUUCUGAACACAUGGGCGGUCGAGUUGGAGAUCCUGACAGCAUGUUAGUAGCAUGGAGAAGUCUUAGUUAUAAUCUAAAGGCCACUUUUGGAAGCAUGGUUUUGCCUCUGGGUUCUUUGACCAUUGGUCUGGCUCGUCAUCGUGCUUUGUUAUUCAAGGUUUUGGCUGAUAGUGUGGGGCUCCCUUGUCGAUUAGUAAAAGGGCAAGAAUACACAGGGUCAGAUGAAGUUGCAAUGAAUUAUGUAAAGAUUGAAGAUGGAAGGGAAUAUAUUGUUGAUUUGAUGGCAGACCCUGGGACACUUAUUCCCUCUGAUACAUCUGGAACACAAGUAGACUGUGAGGAAUCUAUCCUCUCCAUCAGUCCAUCUUCCAAAGAUGUUGAUUCUCAUAUGGGUGGUUCUUCUAGUAGUGGGGUUGCUUGUUCGUCAGAAGAUCAUUCCGAGUAUGGAACGGCAGAGAGGAGAUCCAGGUUCAGGGAAAGCAGCACAGGAAAUGAGUCUCCAUCUUCUAGUAAUAAUUCUGAAAAGCAGAUUAAAGCUGAGAAAGGAUGCAAUAACUCCUCUAAUGAAUUUACAAAGCUUUGGACCGUGAAGAAGGAGCAAAGACAGGAAACUUCACCCGGGACUGGGCAUGCAAGAUCUUCUUAUACACAUGCAAGGUCACCUUCCUGGACUGAAGGUGUUAGCUCCCCGGCCGUACGGCGAAUGAAAGUUACGGAUGUUUCACAGUACAUGAUUGAUGCUGCUAAAGAGAAUCCACAGCUAGCUCAAAAGCUUCACGAUGUUUUACUUGAAAGUGGGGUUGUUGCACCACCAAAUCUGUUCACUGAAGUCUAUACAGAGGAGUUGGAUGUGUCCCCUGUGGAGGGAAAAUCUGGGCCAGAGGAUAUGGAAAGUAAGGGGAGCGAUGAGAUUGAGAAAAACAAGAGUCAAGCUGAUCUAGAUCGUAAUAGUUUCUUGCCCCCUUUGCCUUAUCAUGUUAUGUCCAAGGGCAAUCCCCGUGGGCCAUUUGAUAGUGGGCAGCAAGUUUCUCCACACUCUGAACUGGCUGCAGUGAAAUUCACAAAAAACAUGCCUGUUGCUGCUGCUGCAGCGGUAGCAGCAGCCGUGGUUGCCUCUUCAAUGGUAGUUGCUGCAGCAAAGACCACGUAUGGUUCAAAAGCUGAUCUCCCUGUUGCAGCUGCUGUGACAGCCACAGCUGCAGCAGUGGUAGCAACAACUGCAGCUGUCACUAAGCAAUAUGAAAACUUGGAGCCGUCUUCUGAUUCACCAGAUAGUCCUGCUUUUUUCCUUAAUCUAAUCGACUCUGGAAGAGUUGAUGGAGAUGCAGAUGGUGCUGUGUAUGAGCAGCGGGGUAGUGGUGAUCAAGUGCAUGAGGCAUUAGGGGUGAAUUCUGAGAAUGAAAGAAUAUCAGAUAGGUCAACCGGUAAUGAUAGUGUUAAAUCUGAUGUGACACUUGAUGAUGUCUCAGAUUGUGAGAUUCCAUUUGAGGAUAUCACCUUGGGUGAGCGUAUCGGACUUGGAUCUUAUGGAGAGGUCUAUCAUGGAGAAUGGCACGGAACUGAAGUAGCUGUGAAGAAAUUCCUAGACCAAGAUAUAACUGGUGAAUCCCUUGAAGAAUUUAAGAGUGAGGUGUGGAUCAUGAAAAGACUCCGGCAUCCUAAUGUAGUCCUGUUCAUGGGAGCUGUUACUCGUCCUCCAAACCUUUCAAUUAUUACCGAGUUUCUUCAUAGAGGUAGUUUGUACAGAUUAAUUCAUCGGCCCAACAAUCAGUUGGAUGAACGGAGAAGAUUGAGGAUGGCUCUUGAUACUGCUCGAGGCAUGAACUAUCUACACAAUUGCACUCCUAUGGUAGUUCAUCGUGAUUUAAAGUCUCCGAAUCUCCUUGUGGAUAAGAACUGGGUGGUGAAGGUAUGUGAUUUUGGGUUAUCAAGAAUGAAGCACAGCACCUUUCUUUCUUCAAGGUCAACUGCUGGGACGCCCUUUUGUAGAAGAUAGCAUGCUGUUGGUCUUAAAACACUUCAGGCUUUUGGAGAUGUUUUCAUUGCCAAGUUUCUACUUCAAAAAGGCCGAGUGGAUGGCCCCAGAAGUGCUGAGAAAUGAGCCUUCAAAUGAAAAAUGUGAUGUAUAUAGCUACGGUGUCAUACUAUGGGAGCUCUGUACUCUGCAGCAGCCAUGGGGAGGAAUGAACCCCAUGCAAGUUGUUGGUGCAGUUGGAUUUCAGCAUCGCCGUCUUGACAUACCAGAUGACAUGGAUCCUGCUAUUGCUGACAUCAUCAGAAAAUGCUGGCAAACAGAUCCAAAGUUACGGCCUUCAUUUGGUGAGAUUAUGGCUGCUUUGAAACCACUGCAAAAGCCUAUAAACAGUUCACAAGUACCAAAACCACUGGCGAACAGAGGUCAAGAAAAGGGCCGGUCAUAAACAAACUUGGGUGAUCCAGCAGCACAACAGGUUUAGGACAGAAGGAAAACGGAAUUUUUAUCUUUUAUUGGAAAUGAAGACAUGUUCAUAUUUGCUCAACCAGAAAUUGAAGGAAGCCAAAGGAUCUGUCAACAGACAUAUACUUCAUAUUGAGUCAAUUGUGAUUCUUUUUUCCUGCUUUUGUUUUCUGGCAGUUGUCAACCCACAGUCCUCAAAGUUGUGUAUUUUCUCUCAUGUAUAUUCAUUUUAGGGAUCUCGUUGUAAUUACAGAGUGAUUGAGAAUAUUUUCCAAAUUCUUCAUACUGAAGCCGAAAGAAAAGCAAUGAAAUUGAGAUGCUUGAUUAUCCAGUGGCAGAAGCAGAGAUGUUACUAUGUU
RNA transcript from Nicotiana tabacum (common tobacco), 4140 nucleotides. It is a transcript of the gene named putative serine/threonine-protein kinase SIS8, with no coding region annotated. The record is from RefSeq and is a predicted model, not a curated record. Lineage: Eukaryota; Viridiplantae; Streptophyta; Magnoliopsida; Solanales; Solanaceae.